AGUCAGUAGGAGUAGACCCGAAACCGGGUGAUCUACCCAUGUCCAGGAUGAAGCUGCCGUAAGAGGCAGUGGAGGUCCGGACCCACAUCCGUUGAAAAGGGUGGGGAUGAGGUGUGGGUAGGGGAGAAAUUCCAAUCGAACCCGGAGAUAGCUGGUUCUCCUCGAAAUAGCUUUAGGGCUAGCCUCGGUCAUGAGUCUUGUGGAGGUAGAGCACUGAAUUUCCUAGGGGGCGUCAAAGCCUACCGAAGAAUAUCAAACUCCGAAUGCCAUGUAGACAGGACCGGGAGUCAGACUGCACGAGAUAAGUUGGGCAGUCAAAAGGGAAAGAGCCCAGACCUUCAGUUAAGGUCCCAAAGUGUACGUUAAGUGGAAAAGGAUGUGGGGUCUCGAAGACAACCAGGAUGUUGGCUCAGAAGCAGCCAUUCAUUCAAAGAGUGCGUAAUAGCUCACUGGUCGAGAGGCCCUGCGCCGAAAAUGUCCGGGGCUGAAACGUACCACCGAAACUAAGGGAUCCGCAAGGAUCGGUAGAGGAGCAUUGCAUGCGGAACGAAGCAGUACCGUAAGGAGCUGUGGACUGCAUGGAAGAGAGAAUGCCGGAAUGAGUAGCGAGAUAAAGGUGAGAAUCCUUUAGGCCGAAUAUCCAAGGUUUCCAGGGUAAAGCUGAUCUGCCCUGGGUAAGUCGGGGCCUAAGGCGAGGACGAGAGUCGUAGCCGAUGGACAACAGGUGGAGAUUCCUGUACUGCGGUAUGACAGAACUGUGGGGACACGUAAGGAAAGCGGAAGCCGGGAAUGGAAAGCCCGGUGCAAGCAGGGUACCAGCCACUCAGGCAAAUCCGGGUGUCAAUGGGAAGCUGUGAUGCGGAGCGAAAUACAAGUAGCGAAGUCCGUGAGCCAUGCGUCAAGAAAAGCCGCUAUUGUUUAUACCGUACCCGUACCGUAAACCGACACAGGUGGAUGAGGAGAGAAUCCUAAGGCCGGCGGAAGAAGCAUUGUCAAGGAACUCGGCAAAAUGACCCCGUAACUUCGGGAGAAGGGGUGCCACUGAGAAGUGGCCGCAGAGAAUAGGCUCAAGCAACUGUUUAGCAAAAACACAGGUCUAUGCGAAACCGAAAGGUGAGGUAUAUGGGCUGACGCCUGCCCGGUGCUGGAAGGUUAAGAGGAGAGGUUAGCGCAAGCGAAGCUUUGAAUUUAAGCCCCAGUAAACGGCGGCCGUAACUAUAACGGUCCUAAGGUAGCGAAAUUCCUUGUCGGGUAAGUUCCGACCCGCACGAAAGGCGUAAUGAUUUGAGCGCUGUCUCGACAAUGCAUCCGGUGAAAUUGAAGUACCAGUGAAGAUGCUGGUUACCUGCGCCAGGACGGAAAGACCCCAUGGAGCUUUACUCCAGUUUGGUACUGGGGUCCGGUAUUGCAUGUACAGGAUAGGUGGGAGGCUAGGAAGCAGUAACGCCAGUUGCUGCGGAGCCGCUGUUGGGAUACCACCCUUGCAGUACUGGGCUUCUAACCAGCCGCCGUGAACCGGCGGUGGGACAAUGCCAGACGGGGAGUUUGACUGGGGCGGUCGCCUCCGAAAGGGUAUCGGAGGCGCCCAAAGGUUCCCUCAGAAUGGACGGAAACCAUUCGAAGAGUGCAAAGGCAGAAGGGAGCUUGACUGCGACACCGACGGGUGGAGCAGGUACGAAAGUAGGGCUUAGUGAUCCGGUGGUAUUAAGUGGGAAUGCCAUCGCUCAACGGAUAAAAGCUACCCUGGGGAUAACAGGCUUAUCACUCCCAAGAGUUCACAUCGACGGAGUGGUUUGGCACCUCGAUGUCGGCUCAUCGCAUCCUGGGGCUGUAGUAGGUCCCAAGGGUUGGGCUGUUCGCCCAUUAAAGCGGUACGCGAGCUGGGUUCAGAACGUCGUGAGACAGUUCGGUCCCUAUCCGGCGUGGGCGUAGGAUAUCUGAGAGGAGCUGUCCUUAGUACGAGAGGACCGGGAUGGACGGACCGCUGGUGUACCGGUUAGACUGCCAAGUCUACGGCCGGGUAGCCAAGUCCGGAAGGGAUAAACGCUGAAGGCAUCUAAGC
RNAcentral lists this ribosomal RNA (2062 nucleotides) under Blautia faecis. RNAcentral's name for it is "partial 23S ribosomal RNA". It matches the Rfam family "Bacterial large subunit ribosomal RNA", at positions 698 to 2786 of the family's 2925-position model. The record is from RNAcentral. Lineage: Bacteria; Bacillati; Bacillota; Clostridia; Lachnospirales; Lachnospiraceae.